AGCGGAGGAAAAGAAACUAACAAGGAUUCCCCUAGUAGCGGCGAGCGAAGCGGGAAGAGCUCAAAUUUAUAAUCUGGCACCUUCGGUGUCCGAGUUGUAAUCUCUAGAAAUGUUUUCCGCGUUGGACCGCACACAAGUCUGUUGGAAUACAGCGGCAUAGUGGUGAGACCCCCGUAUAUGGUGCGGACGCCCAGCGCUUUGUGAUACAUUUUCGAAGAGUCGAGUUGUUUGGGAAUGCAGCUCAAAUUGGGUGGUAAAUUCCAUCUAAAGCUAAAUAUUGGCGAGAGACCGAUAGCGAACAAGUACCGUGAGGGAAAGAUGAAAAGCACUUUGGAAAGAGAGUUAACAGUACGUGAAAUUGUUGGAAGGGAAACGCUUGAAGUCAGACUUGCUUGCCGAGCAAUCGGUUUGCAGGCCAGCAUCAGUUUUCCGGGAUGGAUAAUGGUAGAGAGAAGGUAGCAGUUUCGGCUGUGUUAUAGCUCUCUGCUGGAUACAUCUUGGGGGACUGAGGAACGCAGUGUGCCUUUGGCGGGGGUUUCGACCUCUUCACACUUAGGAUGCUGG
This 564-nucleotide ribosomal RNA is filed under the name Rhodotorula mucilaginosa. Its description in RNAcentral is "eukaryotic LSU rRNA". It matches the Rfam family "Eukaryotic large subunit ribosomal RNA", at positions 49 to 629 of the family's 3401-position model. The record is from RNAcentral. Lineage: Eukaryota; Fungi; Basidiomycota; Microbotryomycetes; Sporidiobolales; Sporidiobolaceae.